GACGAACGCUGGCGGCGUGCUUAACACAUGCAAGUCGAACGAUGAUCCCCAGCUUGCUGGGGUGAUUAGUGGCGAACGGGUGAGUAACACGUGAGUAACCUGCCCUUGACUCUGGGAUAAGCGUUGGAAACGACGUCUAAUACCGGAUGCGACCAGCCCUGGCAUCGGGUGUUGGUGGAAAGAAUUUUUGGUCAAGGAUG
Molecule: ribosomal RNA, 200 nt
Filed under: uncultured bacterium
Lineage: Bacteria
Description: partial 16S ribosomal RNA
Rfam family: Bacterial small subunit ribosomal RNA
Source: RNAcentral